GACGAACGCUGGCGGCGUGCUUAACACAUGCAAGUCGAACGGAAAGGCCCUGCUUUUGUGGGGUGCUCGAGUGGCGAACGGGUGAGUAACACGUGAGUAACCUGCCCUUGACUUUGGGAUAACUUCAGGAAACUGGGGCUAAUACCGGAGAGGAGCUCCUGCUGCAUGGUGGGGGUUGGAAAGUUUCGGCGGUUGGGGAUGGACUCGCGGCUUAUCAGCUUGUUGGUGGGGUAGUGGCUUACCAAGGCUUUGACGGGUAGCCGGCCUGGGAGGGUGACCGGCCACAUUGGGACUGCGAUACGGACCAGACUCCUACGGGAGGCAGCAGUGGGGAAUAUUGCACAAUGGGCGGAAGCCUGAUGCAGCAACGCCGCGUGCGGGAUGACGGCCUUCGGGUUGUAAACCGCUUUCGCCUGUGACGAAGCGUGAGUGACGGUAAUGGGUAAAGAAGCACCGGCUAACUACGUG
Molecule: ribosomal RNA, 468 nt
Filed under: uncultured bacterium
Lineage: Bacteria
Description: partial 16S ribosomal RNA
Rfam family: Bacterial small subunit ribosomal RNA
Source: RNAcentral